CAGUCGACGAACUUCCGUUAAUUGAUCAGGACGUGCUUGCACUGAAUGAGAUUUUAACACGAAGUGAGUGGCGGACGGGUGAGUAACACGUGGGUAACCUGCCCAGAAGCAGGGGAUAACACCUGGAAACAGAUGCUAAUACCGUAUAACAGAGAAAACCGCCUGGUUUUCUUUUAAAAGAUGGCUCUGCUAUCACUUCUGGAUGGACCCGCGGCGCAUUAGCUAGUUGGUGAGGUAACGGCUCACCAAGGCGAUGAUGCGUAGCCGACCUGAGAGGGUAAUCGGCCACAUUGGGACUGAGACACGGCCCAGACUCCUACGGGAGGCAGCAGUAGGGAAUCUUCCACAAUGGACGCAAGUCUGAUGGAGCAACGCCGCGUGAGUGAAGAAGGGUUUCGGCUCGUAAAGCUCUGUUGUUAAAGAAGAACGUGGGUGAGAGUAACUGUUCACCCAGUGACGGUAUUUAACCAGAAAGCCACGGCUAACUACGUGCCAGCAGCCGCGGUAAUACGUAGGUGGCAAGCGUUAUCCGGAUUUAUUGGGCGUAAAGCGAGCGCAGGCGGUCUUUUAAGUCUAAUGUGAAAGCCUUCGGCUCAACCGAAGAAGUGCAUUGGAAACUGGGAGACUUGAGUGCAGAAGAGGACAGUGGAACUCCAUGUGUAGCGGUGAAAUGCGUAGAUAUAUGGAAGAACACCAGUGGCGAAGGCGGCUGUCUGGUCUGUAACUGACGCUGAGGCUCGAAAGCAUGGGUAGCGAACAGGAUUAGAUACCCUGGUAGUCCAUGCCGUAAACGAUGAUUACUAAGUGUUGGAGGGUUUCCGCCCUUCAGUGCUGCAGCUAACGCAUUAAGUAAUCCGCCUGGGGAGUACGACCGCAAGGUUGAAACUCAAAAGAAUUGACGGGGGCCCGCACAAGCGGUGGAGCAUGUGGUUUAAUUCGAAGCUACGCGAAGAACCUUACCAGGUCUUGACAUCUUCUGCCAACCUAAGAGAUUAGGCGUUCCCUUCGGGGACAGAAUGACA
This 1022-nucleotide ribosomal RNA is filed under the name bacterium IARFR2043D. RNAcentral describes it as "bacterial SSU rRNA". It matches the Rfam family "Bacterial small subunit ribosomal RNA", at positions 59 to 1036 of the family's 1533-position model. The record is from RNAcentral.